UUCUACGGCCAUAGCACCCUGAACGCACCCGAUCUCGUCUGAUCUUGGAAGCUCAGCAGGGUAGGGCCUGGUUAGUACUUGGAUGGGAGAAAAGCUGAGGAAACAGUAAAGG
This is a ribosomal RNA of Otolemur garnettii (small-eared galago), 112 nucleotides long. The record is from Ensembl. NCBI's taxonomy places the organism in Eukaryota, Metazoa, Chordata, Mammalia, Primates, Galagidae.